GACGAACGCUGGCGGCGUGCCUAAUACAUGCAAGUCGAACGCUUCUUUCCUCCCGAGUGCUUGCACUCAAUUGGAAAGAGGAGUGGCGGACGGGUGAGUAACACGUGGGUAACCUACCCAUCAGAGGGGGAUAACACUUGGAAACAGGUGCUAAUACCGCAUAACAGUUUAUGCCGCAUGGCAUAAGAGUGAAAGGCGCUUUCGGGUGUCGCUGAUGGAUGGACCCGCGGUGCAUUAGCUAGUUGGUGAGGUAACGGCUCACCAAGGCCACGAUGCAUAGCCGAUCUGAGAGGGUGAUCGGCCACACUGGGACUGAGACACGGCCCAGACUCCUACGGGAGGCAGCAGUAGGGAAUCUUCGGCAAUGGACGAAAGUCUGACCGAGCAACGCCGCGUGAGUGAAGAAGGUUUUCGGAUCGUAAAACUCUGUUGUUAGAGAAGAACAAGGACGUUAGUAACUGAACGUCCCCUGACGGUAUCUAACCAGAAAGCCACGGCUAACUACGUG
This 508-nucleotide ribosomal RNA is filed under the name uncultured bacterium. RNAcentral describes it as "partial 16S ribosomal RNA". It matches the Rfam family "Bacterial small subunit ribosomal RNA", at positions 28 to 507 of the family's 1533-position model. The record is from RNAcentral.